CUCUGAGGCAUGCUGGGGUAUCAAUAACCCAAUGUUUCCCCACACAAUCUUUUUUAAAAGCGCUCUGAAAACAAACAGAGGCUGGACCUCCAUCACCAGGACUGCAGCACCACGACUAUGGACACAGGGAAGCAGGGAUUUCGAGGAUGUCAAGACCUGGAUUAGCCGUACCAUGAGGGUGUCACAUGAAGAUUUUUAGCAACAGUCAACCAGCCGUCCCUCUCCUCACACUGUCCAUCUCUGGGAUAUGGAUCCUCCUAGUAUAGCUACAGUGGCCCCAAAAAUUAAUUUUCGAAGGUAUGCAGGAGCUCCUCAUUAAUGCGGCUUCCAUGAUGGCCUCUGUCAAGAUAGAGAGUCUUAGCAUGGUAGGGGGCCUGCAGGUGGAUUAAUUUGUUCUGCCAGGUUCCUCAGGCCCCAUGCUAAUGAAGAGAAGAAUACGGAUCAGAGCUCAUGCCAUGGAGAGCUGUCCAACUCCUAUGAUGCCCUGCUGGAAUUCCUGCCUGGAUUAACCAAUGACUUCCCUACUUCAAGCCCUUAUUAGGCAGUGUUGGUCUCCCCAUGCCAUGGGAGCAAUCCAGGGUGAGCGGGUCGGUGAACAGUUUGGGCUACAGAGUAAUGAAGCAUGCAGCGAAGAGCGGCCUAGCUCCCAACAGCACCCCUCCUUUCCUUGUCUGCUUUCCCAAAUUGGAUGUGUUUAUAAUACAACACGCUCCAGAGAACAAACACAGAAUGUGGAGGGCAUCGGGAUGUCUCUCCUCUCUCCUUUUUUCUCUUCGCCAUUGUUGAUGUGAGGGUGUCUGUCAAACACUGUUUCCAUCAGCGCAGUCGUGAGGAGGUGUAUGGCUUACAUCUGGCCAAGUGUGAAACUCGGUAUCAUCUACUGUUAAAUCGUGCCUUUUAUUUGUCAUCAAACCUUUGCUUGAAACCAAACACAAUGUGACGUUAAAUAGUUUGUAUAUUCUACUCAGAUGUUGCAUUUGUAGAGACAUACAGUAUUAAGUAAAAUAAUAAAAGAUUCACUGUAGGUUGAGUGGAGAAUUCAACCUUUUUUGGCAAGGUUUGUUCAGGUUGUAAAAUGUCACACGGUGUGACUUUUUGCAAUGUUGAAAUUAAUAAUUCAUUAUAUUGUAUUUGUCAAAAAAAAAUUUUUUUUAGGAAAUAAUGUGUACACAUUUAUUCAAGGUGUAAAGAA
This is a long non-coding RNA of Cyprinus carpio (common carp), 1192 nucleotides long. RefSeq lists it as uncharacterized. The record is from RefSeq and is a predicted model, not a curated record. Lineage: Eukaryota; Metazoa; Chordata; Actinopteri; Cypriniformes; Cyprinidae.